This is a long non-coding RNA of Drosophila virilis, 1097 nucleotides long. RefSeq lists it as uncharacterized. The record is from RefSeq and is a predicted model, not a curated record. Lineage: Eukaryota; Metazoa; Arthropoda; Insecta; Diptera; Drosophilidae.
AAUGUGCUUAGCAUCAUCGAGCCAGUCCCAGAGCGGCUACCAUUGGCCGUAACCAUUUGUCAAAAGGAGGAAAUAAGCUAGACAGCAGAAUGUCACUGAGCCCAGGGUCUGUGGUUGGGGCAUCCGAGGUCGUAUCAUCAUAGUUGCUUUUUUCAAAGUGUAGUCCCAGCCCCGCCAACGAAACCAUACAAUACCCUGUCGGGCAGUCAAGUCUUGAGGAUCAUGCAGAUAAAGUCCGUUUAAUCCACGACCACAUGACUUCCACCACCAGCCGCCCUGCAAACCAAAAAAAAAAAAAAAAAACAAACAAGGAAUUGGUUAACUUUACAAAAGUUAAAUUGCUCACCAAAUCCAUUUUUAUAGUCCGCCCAAUCGCGAUUGAAGUUUUCACGCGGCUCUCCAAAAUCAUCCCGCCGUUGAAUCACCUGCGAUUAAGGUAAAAUACUCCAGACUGUUUCAUGCCAGCAUUUAAGAUAUCUACACAGGAGAAACCCUAGAUCCCUGCUAAGUGGAUGUCUGUGACCCGUCGAUCACAUCUUCACCAGACGAAUUAACAUCAAAUGAAAGGAAGGGAAAGGUAACCAAGAAUGCCAAGAAGAUGGAAGAUGAAUUCCUACCCAAGCAAGAUGUAAUUGUCCCCCAAUCAACAGUAAAAGUCAUCAUGUCCUGCUUUACAAUGCUGAAGAAUACAAGUUGGCGACAAUUGAAGGCGGAAACACAGCGGGAACGCCGACGAAAUAUCCACAGACAUCAAUUUUCCCUAGUCCGCAUAUCCUACCUUACUGGCAGUACCUAAGUCGAAGGAGGUCGUCGAUGGACUACAUCUUACAAAUUUGAGCCGAGACGCCUCAGGAAAAGGCAGACGGCUUUACUUCCACAUGGGUAUGCCAGCUGCUGCAGUGCCUCCUGUUGGUGUGGACGUGGGCCUUUAGCAGGACAAUGGAACAAAUAUUACAGUUUAAAACUAUCAGAGCACAAAAAGCUUAAUAGCCACUGUUAAACAAACAUUUCUCCUGUAGAAAUGAAUCAUUUUCAUGUAUUCUAAUACUAUUUAUACAAGAUACAAUUAUACUAAAAGAAAUGUUUUCCUCCUCUCA